This 504-nucleotide ribosomal RNA is filed under the name uncultured bacterium. RNAcentral's name for it is "partial 16S ribosomal RNA". It matches the Rfam family "Bacterial small subunit ribosomal RNA", at positions 29 to 523 of the family's 1533-position model. The record is from RNAcentral.
AUUGAACGCUGGCGGCAGGCCUAACACAUGCAAGUCGGACGGUAGCACAGAGAGCUUGCUCUCGGGUGACGAGUGGCGGACGGGUGAGUAAUGUCUGGGGAUCUGCCCGAUAGAGGGGGAUAACCACUGGAAACGGUGGCUAAUACCGCAUAACGUCGCAAGACCAAAGAGGGGGACCUUCGGGCCUCUCACUAUCGGAUGAACCCAGAUGGGAUUAGCUAGUAGGCGGGGUAACGGCCCACCUAGGCGACGAUCCCUAGCUGGUCUGAGAGGAUGCCCAGGCACACUGGAACGGAGACACGGUCCAGACUCCUACGGGAGGCAGCAGUGGGGAAUAUUGCACAAUGGGCGCAAGCCUGAUGCAGCCAUGCCGCGUGUAUGAAGAAGGCCUUCGGGUUGUAAAGUACUUUCAGCGGGGAGGAAGGCGAUGUGGUUAAUAACCGUAUCGAUUGACGUUACCCGCAGAAGAAGCACCGGCUAACUCCGUGCCAGCAGCCGCAGUAA